This 206-nucleotide ribosomal RNA is filed under the name uncultured bacterium. RNAcentral's name for it is "partial 16S ribosomal RNA". It matches the Rfam family "Bacterial small subunit ribosomal RNA", at positions 568 to 774 of the family's 1533-position model. The record is from RNAcentral.
CGCGCAGGCGGUCGAUUUAGUCGCGUGUGAAAGCCCCCGGCUCAACUGGGGAGGGUCACGCGAUACUGAUCGACUCGAAGGCAGGAGAGGGUAGUGGAAUUCCCGGUGUAGUGGUGAAAUGUGUAGAUAUCGGGAGGAACACCAGUGGCGAAGGCGACUACCUGGCCUGUUCUUGACGCUGAGGCGCGAAAGCUAGGGAGCAAACG